RNAcentral lists this ribosomal RNA (465 nucleotides) under uncultured bacterium. Its description in RNAcentral is "partial 16S ribosomal RNA". It matches the Rfam family "Bacterial small subunit ribosomal RNA", at positions 28 to 507 of the family's 1533-position model. The record is from RNAcentral.
GACGAACGCUGGCGGCGUGCUUAACACAUGCAAGUCGAACGGAAAGGCCCCUUUGGGGGUACUCGAGUGGCGAACGGGUGAGUAACACGUGAGUAACCUGCCCUUGACUUCGGGAUAACUUCAGGAAACUGGGGCUAAUAACGGAUAGGAAUCCUUGCUGCAUGGUGGGGGGUGGAAAGCUUCGGCGGGUUUGGAUGGACUCGCGGCUUAUCAGCUUGUUGGUGGGGUAGUGGCUUACCAAGGCUUUGACGGGUAGCCGGCCUGGGAGGGCGACCGGCCACAUUGGGACUGAGAUACGGCCCAGACUCCUACGGGAGGCAGCAGUGGGGAAUAUUGCACAAUGGGCGGAAGCCUGAUGCAGCAACGCCGCGUGCGGGAUGACGGCCUUCGGGUUGUAAACCGCUUUCAGCAGGGGCGAAGCUUGUGGUGACGGUACCUGCAGAAGAAGCACCGGCUAACUACGUG